UACGUAGGGGGCAAGCGUUAUCCGGAAUUACUGGGUGUAAAGGGAGCGUAGACGGUAAUGUAAGUCUGGAGUGAAAGGCGGGGGCCCAACCCCCGGACUGCUCUGGAAACUAUGUUACUGGAGUGCAGGAGAGGUAAGCGGAAUUCCUAGUGUAGCGGUGAAAUGCAUAGAUAUCACACAGAACACCGAUUGCGAAGGCAUCUCACGAAUCCGCGAUUGACGCUGAUGCACGAAAGCGUGGGUAUCAAACAGG
This 253-nucleotide ribosomal RNA is filed under the name uncultured Eubacteriales bacterium. Its description in RNAcentral is "uncultured Clostridiales bacterium partial 16S ribosomal RNA". It matches the Rfam family "Bacterial small subunit ribosomal RNA", at positions 524 to 776 of the family's 1533-position model. The record is from RNAcentral. Lineage: Bacteria; Bacillati; Bacillota; Clostridia; Eubacteriales.